This 174-nucleotide ribosomal RNA is filed under the name uncultured bacterium. Its description in RNAcentral is "partial 16S ribosomal RNA". It matches the Rfam family "Bacterial small subunit ribosomal RNA", at positions 137 to 312 of the family's 1533-position model. The record is from RNAcentral.
UGGGGGAUAAGGUUCGGAAACGGACGCUAAUACCGCAUACAUCCUACGGGAGAAACGGGGGGACCUUCGGGCCUUGCACUAUCAAAUGAGCCUGAGGUCGGAUUACGUAGUUGGGGAGGUAAUGGCUCACCAAGGCGACGAUCCGUAACUGGUCUGAGAGGAUGAUCAGUCACA